UAGCUCAGUUGGUAGAGCAGUUGACUUUUAAUCAAUUGGUCGCAGGUUCGAAUCCUGCACGACCCACCAAUUUCAGUAUUUAACUCAGAUGCUGAACGUGAAGGAUAACGUUGCGACAGCAACGGCCCGAAGGGCGAGGCGAAGUCGAGUCAUCCUGCACGACCUACCA
Molecule: small RNA, 169 nt
Filed under: Klebsiella pneumoniae
Lineage: Bacteria; Pseudomonadati; Pseudomonadota; Gammaproteobacteria; Enterobacterales; Enterobacteriaceae
Description: RtT sRNA
Rfam family: RtT RNA
About the family: This family represents a bacterial cis-regulatory element known as RtT RNA. The exact function of RtT is unknown although it is thought that it may be involved in changing the cellular response in relation to amino acid starvation.
Source: RNAcentral